GUUAUUCAAUCCGCAUGCGAUUUACAUGUUAUAAUACAUAUACAUACGUAAAUGUCGUAACGUUGGUAACGCAUGUGGAAUGAAUAGCGUCGAUUGGAUUAUAAUUGUUACUUCUUAUAAUUCCCAGACUGUAUACAAAGAAAAUGAAAAAAUUGUUUGCUCUACGCCAUAGAUAAUAAAACUUAAAUAAACAAACGUUUGUCUCGAGAUGCACAGCAGUUGCUUAAGUGUGUACACAUCACACCAUAAAGUCUGUACCUACACUGCACUAUUAGUUCCUGUUCAUUUUUGCAUAUAAGCUUAUCUUAAAAACUUGCCAAAAGCGAACAUUAAUAAUUUAUGAUGGUCACUUAGCACGAUAAUGCCUGUUGCAAUAAUAUGUUAAGAGUAUAGAGUGUAGGUUUUUGCCGUACUUAUCUGAUUACAAAAAAAAAUUUCCUUAAAAUUUAUUGAUUACGCCACACUUCCUUGAACUCAUUAUCGUUUUGAAUAAAUAUUUGAGUUCCAGCUGAACAUUUUAGGUCAAU
Bradysia coprophila is the source of this 527-nucleotide long non-coding RNA. NCBI's taxonomy places the organism in Eukaryota, Metazoa, Arthropoda, Insecta, Diptera, Sciaridae. The record is from RefSeq and is a predicted model, not a curated record.